RNAcentral lists this long non-coding RNA (248 nucleotides) under Elaeis guineensis (African oil palm). RNAcentral describes it as "long non-coding RNA (EGUI_LNC077348)". Lineage: Eukaryota; Viridiplantae; Streptophyta; Magnoliopsida; Arecales; Arecaceae. The record is from RNAcentral.
CACGUUAUCUAAAUUCAAUCCCUAAUAUGCAUCAAUUAGGCAUCCCAAACCCAGGCCGAGUCAAACUAUGUGCUUAGACUCUCUAGUUUGUGUGUUGCAUUUGAGGAUCUGACUAAAUACCUACUUUUGUUUGUGCAUGGAUCGUCUAUGGGUGUUUGAGCAAGAUUGGCAUGAUUGGUCGGACAUGAUUACCUCGUAUGUAUCACCUUGUUUAAUUGCCCACUGCUGAUUAGUGCAUGAACUAUGGG